Molecule: long non-coding RNA, 716 nt
Organism: Equus caballus (horse)
Lineage: Eukaryota; Metazoa; Chordata; Mammalia; Perissodactyla; Equidae
Source: RefSeq, a predicted model, not a curated record
GCUCAGUAGAGCCCCGCACCUGCAGAGGCGAAGCCAGACCGCACCCCUCACGGCAAAGCCCGGAGAGUUCAGCCCACGGUCAUCUCCUCUGAGCAACAGGGCUUCUUUGAAAGAUGCUGCCACCAUGUGGACAAGUCUGAGCUGGAUUGGUGGAGAGUCCUCAGCCAACCCCAACUGCCAGACCAUCCAGCCAAGUUGAGUGAGAGGCCAUUUAACAGAGUUGAGUUGCCAGAUGACAGCAGCCAUGCAAAGCCAGGAGAAGAAACAAGUCAACAACCCCUCGAGAACUGUGAGCAAAUAAAAUGAUUGUUAUUUUAAGUCAGUAAGUUUUAGGGUGCUGCAAUAGAGAAAUGGUAUGAGUACUUUUGAAAAAUAUCACUUCCUGCCUACCCUCCAUCCCAUCAGAUCUAAUGAUUAAGAAUUUCUUGGUAAGGAGCUCCACUGAUCUUUGUGUGGUGACUGUUGUUCAUCAACAAGGUUUGGAACUCACUAGCGUAGACCUUGGAGACUGAGUCCUACUGGGUCCCCUGGAUCUUGGAAGCCCACUAGGCCUACUCCAUUCGUGGUACCUGGGCCAAGGAAACCGUUCCUCCCUCUCUCUCCUAGGGUACAGGUCAGGACUUUUUCCAUUGCAAAUACCAAAAAACCCAACUGAAACUGCUUAAAGAAAAUGUGCAAUAAAAUUUUUUUGCAAUUGUUUAAGCAGUAGGGCUAAA